RNAcentral lists this long non-coding RNA (907 nucleotides) under Marmota monax (woodchuck). Lineage: Eukaryota; Metazoa; Chordata; Mammalia; Rodentia; Sciuridae. The record is from RNAcentral.
GGAAGAGCACGUUAGGAGAGCUAGACUUUAGACAAUGCUUAAUCAACAUUUACUCAUUCUUUUCUUAGUUUAAGAACCAUUUCCUUAAAGAAGCCUUUGACUACCUUUCUUCCCCAAGUCUAGGGUAAGUUCUUAUACACUCACAGAAUUAUGUUUUAUUAUUUUAGAACACUCAUUAUAAUUUCUAAUCGUUUAAUACUAGUCUUCUCUAAGUUCUAUGAAAGAGGGUCUGGUCUAGUUCAGAUGUAUUGCCUGAUACAUAGCAAGUGUUCAAUAAAUAUUUGAAUAAUUUUUACAACAAAGGAGAAAUUUAAAACCUUCCAUCAAACUACUUAGAAAUUAAGGACAAUGAAAAUAUUACACUGACUUAAGGACCAUGGCCAAAGCUAUUCUAAAUUUUUCUCAUUUAAAUAAAAAUAUCUGAUACAGGAUGGAGUGUGGUUCAGUGGCAGAAUGCUUGCCUAGCAUGGUGAGGCACUGGGUUCAAUCCUUAGCAUCACUUAACAAAUACAGGAAUUCUGUUCAUCUACAACUACCAAAAAAAUUUUUUUUUUAAAUCUAUAACACUUGUAAUCUUAUUGUGAUUCCAAUGACUUGUGAGGCUGAGGCAAGAGGAUUGCAAAUUUUGAGGCCUGCCUCAGCAACUUAGUGAGACCCUGUAUCAACAUAAAAACCCGUUAGGGAUAUGGCUCAGUGGUAAAGCAUCCCUGGGUUCAAUCUCCCCAAUACCAAAACAACAACAACAAAAAAAAAAACUAUGAGACUCCAGAAAAAAUUAAUGACUUGGAACAAAACCAGUAGAAGAGGCCAAUGAAAUAUACAACAUACUGGCAAUGCUAAUCAUGGGACAAAUGCAAAUGCAUAAUAAUAAAAAUGAUACAGGACAACAGGUGAAACAGUGUAAAAU